AUUGAACGCUGGCGGCAUGCUUUACACAUGCAAGUCGAACGGUAACAGGCCGCAAGGUGCUGACGAGUGGCGAACGGGUGAGUAAUGCAUCGGAACGUGCCCAGUCGUGGGGGAUAACGCAGCGAAAGCUGCGCUAAUACCGCAUACGAUCUAUGGAUGAAAGCGGGGGACCGUAAGGCCUCGCGCGAUUGGAGCGGCCGAUGUCAGAUUAGGUAGUUGGUGGGGUAAAGGCUCACCAAGCCAACGAUCUGUAGCUGGUCUGAGAGGACGACCAGCCACACUGGGACUGAGACACGGCCCAGACUCCUACGGAGGCAGCAGUGGGGAAUUUUGGACAAUGGGCGCAAGCCUGAUCCAGCAAUGCCGCGUGCAGGAAG
This 377-nucleotide ribosomal RNA is filed under the name uncultured bacterium. Its description in RNAcentral is "bacterial SSU rRNA". It matches the Rfam family "Bacterial small subunit ribosomal RNA", at positions 29 to 410 of the family's 1533-position model. The record is from RNAcentral.